Molecule: transfer RNA, 75 nt
Filed under: Methanomicrobiaceae archaeon
Lineage: Archaea; Methanobacteriati; Methanobacteriota; Methanomicrobia; Methanomicrobiales; Methanomicrobiaceae
Description: tRNA-Arg
Rfam family: tRNA
About the family: Transfer RNA (tRNA) molecules are approximately 80 nucleotides in length.
Source: RNAcentral
GGGCUUGUGGCCUAGUCAGGAUAGGGCGUCAGCCUCCUAAGCUGAUGGUCGCGGGUUCAAAUCCCGCCAAGCCCG